Molecule: long non-coding RNA, 5155 nt
Organism: Peromyscus leucopus (white-footed mouse)
Lineage: Eukaryota; Metazoa; Chordata; Mammalia; Rodentia; Cricetidae
Exons: 2
Source: RefSeq, a predicted model, not a curated record
GCACAGUGCGGAGCUGGCGCUGCAAUGCAGCGGUGCAGAGGUUCCAGGAGCCCGCGGCGGGCGCCCACCAACACAGUGAUGGAGCCCAGAGCCCAAUCCCACAAUGCUCAGGCACGGGGCUGGGGGUGGGCUGCCUUGUUGGGGUUUGCUUGUGACAAUGGGAGGGGUGUACAGUGUGGGAGAGUGUUGAGGAUUCACUGAGUCGUUCUGCAGGAGGAAUUGGGCUAGGUCCUUCAGGGCGCGCUGCUGCCCUCGAGGGCUUAGAGCGUGACAAGAAAUAGGACAAGACCCGGAUAAGGAAGCCUCUGCAGAACACAGCGCCAGAGUGCCUUGGGGGAAAUGCAAGAGGUGUGUUUUUCUGGAGGUUCCUACACCUAUCGCCUCUUUCCCUGCGGCUGCUUUUCUGUUUUAGGGGAACAAGGUGUGGAUCGUUUCGUCCGGUCUCUGCAAAUCCGAUGGGUUUUCAGUAGGGCCGAGGCUGUCUGUACAGCUCAUUUAUCCCAAUCAAUAUAGCUGCUCUCUUUUUAACGUGGCAGAGAAAGCUUUCCGUUAAAAUUACAGCCUUGGCGACAGCAAUUCGCGUGGCCCUGGCUUGCCUGGUAUUGUGCAAGUGGCUUGGCUUACCGCCUCAUCUGCGAAAUGACCUUUUGUCUUUUUCCGGCACUUUUAAGAAAAUGGAACUGAAGUUGCUACAGUGAAUAACUAUUGAUGUAGUAUAACAGCUACCAAUAUUAAGUGGAAAAUUUGUGCUAAAACACACUUUUUAACAAGAUAAAAUCAUGACUCACAAAUGUCACAUGACUACACGAUGGAGAUUUUACAUAACCCAUUAAAUAAUUAGGGAAUGAGCAGGAUGCCAAAUGAGUUCAAAGGAGAAUUAUGAAGAAUACACAACACACACACACACACACACACACACACACACACACACACACCCUAUAGUGGAAUAAAGUAGAAUGUGUGAAAUUGCUUUUGCAUUCUCACAAGAUGAAAUCAAAUCUGUUCCAGACAAAAAUACAUGGUUUAUAGAUGAAAACCAUUUACUUUGCCAUUAAAUCUUCAAACUUAAUGUCUAGUUCCUCAGAAUUGUAAAACUACUAGGUCAAUCAUAGCAGCCAGGGUGCACAGCCGAUAGAAUCAGUCCCAGGGAGACCCCUUGGCAGUGCCCACUCUGCCACUGAACAGGCCUUCAUAGUUAAAGAUGAGCCGGAGGACCACACGCCUUUGGACUUGGAGACAGGAAAGAUGUCCAAGUGAAAAGCCUGCUGAUUGGAUGACUGGAGGAGAGGCUGUACUUGUGAUGUCAUCUUAGAAACAUUUUGGGUGUCUAGGAGCAAGACCAUCAACCAUCCUUAAGAUGUGAGGCAUUGGAGAAAUCGCUGGAGUUGGGCUUUGCUGACCGGCUGCUUAGAGAGAAGCUGUUGUCUAUUGAUCUCUCUCUAAGCACCACAGCCUCCGCAGGAAUGGGGGAUCCAAGGGCAGAGGAGACUUAGACCCCAGACACAUGAAUCAGUGCUAAGCUAGUGGGUCACAGAAUAGCGUAGCUUCCUCUUCAGAGAUUCCCUGAGUCACGUUUGCUAACAUAUCUCCACCAUGAAGAUCCUGAGAGGCUGGUAUCCAUACCAACACCAUCGGUUUCCAUUCCCUCAGUAUCUAUAUGAACAUUUUCAGUCUCUGUCACGGAAUGGCAGAAAAGUAAGUGUUGUGACUUUGCAAUCCACUUUGACAAUGAUGAGAAUUAGACCAACGAAGAGCCUGGGGGACGUUUUCUCCUAGCUUUAGAAACCAAGCUACAGCCACACUGAGUGUCACUUACAGACGGAUGAGUCCCUCAAACUCAAAAGUGGGCUAAACUCUUAUUUUCCUUCCUGGUUUUGAGAUUAGACUGCCAGUUUCUCAAGGUCACCGCUGGGGGGACUGGAGAUGAGGUGUGGCAGAUGGGCUUCUGGGUUGCAACUCUCGGUGACGUGAUGGGGUUGGGGGGAGACCAAGGAGAAGGAGAAGAAAACACACUGUGAUGACUCGAAUAUGAUUUAUGCGUGGACAGGCAAGGAGAUCUCUUUUCCUUGCUUGGGUCACAUCAUUAAGUCUAAUUAAUGGGAACUGAUCAUAGGGGGAGUUCAGAAUCUAUUUUCGGUUGUCCUUAUCCAAAGGCAGCAAUCAAAAUGCAGAUGAGCUAUCUCUGUCUUACCCCAGGAGAGACACAGGCUUCUUGCUAAUGAAGGGAAAUUGGUAAACGAAUGCUUAUCACGCCUUCCCUGUCUUUGACGGCUUCUUGGAGUGGCAGUACAGGCAGGCAGACAUUUCAUGUUCUGAAAUGGUGCCACCCGGUAUCGACUGUCUCUUUUUCCAGAGAGUCUGAGUGCCGCUCCAAUGCUGUCUUCUCACCGCUGCUGAGAGAGAGGCAGGGGCCAAGGACUCUCUCCUUUAGCCCUAACCUGAACAAAGCUAAGUGGCUUUCCCAGAGCAAGCCAGACCACGGAGGAUCUUUAACCAGAAAGGGCGCUUCGGGGCAUACAGUUGGGCAGCAUUAGCAAUCCAUUCUCAUUCCGACCUUCAGCCUCAAUAAUUAGAGCCUUCUUGUCUAACUGAACAAGAAAGAUCUGGGGCAGUGUGGGACAGAAUUAGAAAUAACCCACCAGGAGGUCCAAAGUCACCCCACUGAGGACAGCCUUGAGCUGUAGCCCAAUGGAGAAGACCAACCUGCUGGAGGCAGGCAGAGGCAUCCGGAGCUGUGUGCUUCCUUGUUGGUUUUUUAAACAGAAAAAUGGCUCCCAUCAAAUGCUCUGACACACAAAUCAUCUCUGGAUGAAAUGGAAGUGCACCCCUUUCCCAGCAGGGUGAUAAAUUAACCUGCAGCUGCGGCGGCUGUGGGGUCACCACUCGGUCCCCAUCCAGUCUGUCCCAGGAGAGUUCCUUUCUCCUCUCCAUGCCAGCACUGCCAUAUUUAGCUCUUCCAGCAUGUGCACCAUCUAUAUUUAGUAUCUAAAAGUCAGAGUUCAGUGUACAAUUCACCAGGCUAUCAGUCAUCCCUUCAUUCCAUUCACACUUGUAGAAAAAUCCUUCCAAGAGACUGCCUUGCUCUCCGGGAUGUGGGGUGGUGGUGAUGGUGGUGGAAGCCAUUCCAAGAAUGAAGGGUUGAACUCCAGAGGGGGUUUCCUGCUGUCUCUGGCAUGCAGUGAGUGCCUGAGAGUGCCAGACCCCGAGCCAAGAGUCCGGGCAUGGGUGUGGCUCCAGAGGGCAACAGGAUGGUGGAGGGCAGGUGGAAAGGCUCAGGGGUGAAGAGCAGAUCCUGCUGUGCUCACGUGGUCCCUGUUGAAAUUGCAGAAAACUGGCCAUGACUCAUUAAGUCUCCUACUUAGGUGCCACCUUUUGGUGGAAGAUUUCCGUGAGACCCCUCAAAUAAAUUAGGAGCCCUCCCGAGGUAGCAUGUUCCUCCAUGACUCUCUAUACACCAGUUCCCUGUCAAACUUCAGUGUGCGAACAAAUGACUUGGGACAUAACUAAAAUUCAGAUUCCGACUCGGUGUCUCUGGCGUAGGCCUCUGCUCCUGCCUUUUCAGCGAGCUCAAAGGAGAUUCCCAUGCCGCAGGCUGAGCCAGCGCUUCCGAAGUCAUCACCUGGCCAUAAGAUUUAAAUAAAGUGCCGGGCUGCACCAUUCAAACACAGACAGCAUAGCUUGGCCCGGACAUGAAAAGGAACGUCUGGUUCUGUUGCAUCAGAACAGGACCUGCCAUGUGUCCAACACACUUCCCUUUGGAAGUGGAUAUACGAUUCAUUCAACCUGUGGCUGUAUCCUUUCACUCCAGUUCUUUAGAUCCUAGCUUCCUCUUCUAGAAAUCACUUAACUGUUGCUCAUUUUAAAAUAUGAACUGUGGAAUUAAGAGGAAGCCUGUGUCUGCUAUGAACUCAACAAAAAGCCCCCUAGAGGAUGCAUCAAACUGAGUUCUUCUUUGAAGAAUUAAGAAUUAGUCAAGGAAGGAGGGGUGAACACAGUAAAGGAGAUAGCGUUUGCUCGCGCGUUUAUUGUGCUGUGCAGUAAACAAAUAAGUUUCAGAUAAGGUAGAGACGGGAUAAGAUGAGAUCAACUCAAAUAGUUCCACCAGGCAGACUCUUUCUUGUGGGGUUAAUCUUCCCGAGGAGUCUGAGCUUUAUUCUAAAGGCUGUAGGAACCUGGCAAAGGAUGGAAAGCAGAUCAGUAGAAGCAGUGGGGACAAGGAUUACAAGGGAAGCUGAACCCUGGGGAAGAUGGUGGUGACCUUAUGGGGAAGUGCUCCGAGACCACUUGAGGCUGGGGUGUAAUCCAGAGAAAUGAAGGAAGAAGAAUCCAUAGAUCCUGAUGAUAUAACCGGUCAACUUGGACUUAAAAGUUGUGAGAGAAUAAACAAUGAAAAGUCUCAUAGGUUUUGGUAUCUAAAAGACUGAGUGGGGAGUAUACAAUUUGCCAAGACUGUCUUCUGAGGAUCUGGGACACGUACUCACAACGUGUAUCUGAUGAAGAGUGUCUUGCAGAAAACCUGCACCUGCUUAUGUUUCCUUGUGUUCUUGGUUAACUUGUUGGAUUUCCAUUGGAUUGGCCCUCCAGUAACAUGGAAAGCUUGUAGCUUUGGAGCAAAGAAGUGACAUGACCCAGUGACAUCUCAGAAGAUCACUCUGGCUACGGAUUAGUAAACAGAUGAUAAAUGAACAAGGAUGGAAGAAAGAAGGUCAGUUUGUUGUCUUCAAAGUAACAGAAAAGAUAUUGGAGUCUUCGUGAGUGUUAGCUAUGGGUAUGGACUGAUUGUAUGCAAAGGUCAAGUAAUGUGUGACCAAGAAUACAUGUAAAUCUAUAAAUAGUGGAAAGCUCCAUAACUUAGCCUUAUGCAAUGGGUCUCCAGCAUGCUCAUUGGAAUCCCAUUGUUUUCUAGUUUCUUUAGUACUUGGGAAUGCUUAAGUAUCUGUUUCACAACUGAAAGUCUAAAUAUUUUGUUCCUCAAUUUUCAGUAAACAUUGUCGACAUGGCCAUGUUAUUCUCAGUAAAAUAGAUCCACUGGUCCUUGGGGUUUUGAAAAUCAUUCUUUUGGAAAUAUUGAUAGUUCUUACUGUACUGGAAAUUGAAAUACGUACUUCACAGUCAUAAUAUUGAUAAUUAUGUUUAAUAAAAGAAAAUAUAUCCA